AUAAACUAUGCCUGCCAGCGAUCCGCCGAAGUUCCUCCGAUGACUCGGCGGGCAGCUUCCGGGAAACCAGAGCUUUUGGGUUCCGGGGGAAGUAUGGUUGCAAAGCUGAAACUUAAAGGAAUUGACGGAAGGGCACCACCAGGAGUGGAGCCUGCGGCUUAAUUUGACUCAACACGGGAAAACUCACCAGGCCCGGACACCGGAAGGAUUGACAGAUUGAGAGCUCUUUCUUGAUUCGGUGGGUGGUGGUGCAUGGCCGUUCUUAGUUGGUGGAGCGAUUUGUCUGGUUAAUUCCGAUAACGAACGAGACUCUAGCCUACUAACUAGGCGUACCCGGUAUCCACAAUCGUGCUACCGGCGAUCAAAUUUCUUCUUAGAGGGACAGGCGGCUUCUAGCCGCACGAGACUGAGCAAUAACAGGUCUGUGAUGCCCUUAGAUGUCCUGGGCCGCACGCGCGCUACACUGAAGGAAUCAGCGUGUCUUCCCUGUCCGAAAGGACCGGGUAACCCGCUGAACCUCCUUUGUGCUAGGGAUUGGGGCUUGCAAUUGUUCCCCAUGAACGAGGAAUUCCCAGUAAGCGCGAGUCAUAAGCUCGCGUUGAUUACGUCCCUGCCCUUUGUACACACCGCCCGUCGCUACUACCGAUUGAAUGAUUUAGUGAGGUCUUCGGACUGGUACGCGGGGCCGCUCCCGCGGUCCCCGAUGUUGCCGGAAAGAUGACCAAACUUGAUCAUUUAGAGGAAGUAAAAGUCGUAACAAGGUUU
Molecule: ribosomal RNA, 765 nt
Filed under: Eusarima sp. 6 YS-2012
Lineage: Eukaryota; Metazoa; Arthropoda; Insecta; Hemiptera; Issidae
Also listed under: 2 other names
Description: SSU rRNA
Rfam family: Eukaryotic small subunit ribosomal RNA
Source: RNAcentral